RNAcentral lists this unclassified non-coding RNA (156 nucleotides) under fungal sp. RNAcentral's name for it is "partial internal transcribed spacer region". The record is from RNAcentral. Lineage: Eukaryota; Fungi.
AAGUCGUAACAAGGUUUCCGUAGGUAAGGAUCAUUAACACGUAUCCAACGUUAAACCCCCCUGUGAACCUUCAUUGUGCUCCCCCAUUCCGUUACUGCGCUUAAUUGUGCGGCCACCAAACUCGAACAACUGUUAACAAUGGAUAUCUUGGUUCUC